AACGAAGAAGCCCAACCUAGGCCAUUGCAGCACAAACACUCCUGGGCAAGCUGAUGCAGGCAAACAGAAGAAGUACCUGAGCAAGAAGAAGGAACGCCCUAAAGUCUACGUCCAGGUCCACUAAGGCGAGGUCCACUGCUCAUGCUCGAGUUCACCCUCAAGCUGCUCCUGAGAGUCGCAAUAAUACAAAGGAAAGGGCUACUAGUCAUCACCACGGACCAACCCCAAUAGCUAAGUCCUGGAACAACGUACAACC
Molecule: ribosomal RNA, 256 nt
Filed under: Triticum aestivum (bread wheat)
Lineage: Eukaryota; Viridiplantae; Streptophyta; Magnoliopsida; Poales; Poaceae
Description: partial small subunit ribosomal RNA
Source: RNAcentral